UUGAGCGGGGGACAACAUUUGGAAACGAAUGCUAAUACCGCAUAACAACUUUAAACACAAGUUUUAAGUUUGAAAGAUGCAAUUGCAUCACUCAAAGAUGAUCCCGCGUUGUAUUAGCUAGUUGGUGAGGUAAAGGCUCACCAAGGCGAUGAUACAUAGCCGACCUGAGAGGGUGAUCGGCCACAUUGGGACUGAGACACGGCCCAAACUCCUACGGGAGGCAGCAGUAGGGAAUCUUCGGCAAUGGACGAAAGUCUGACCGAGCAACGCCGCGUGAGUGAAGAAGGUUUUCGGAUCGUAAAACUCUGUUGGUAGAGAAGAACGUUGGUGAGAGUGGAAAGCUCAUCAAGUGACGGUAACUACCCAGAAAGGGACGGCUAACUACGUGCCAGCAGCCGCGGUAAUACGUAGGUCCCGAGCGUUGUCCGGAUUUAUUGGGCGUAAAGCGAGCGCAGGUGGUUUAUUAAGUCUGGUGUAAAAGGCAGUGGCUCAACCAUUGUAUGCAUUGGAAACUGGUAGACUUGAGUGCAGGAGAGGAGAGUGGAAUUCCAUGUGUAGCGGUGAAAUGCGUAGAUAUAUGGAGGAACACCGGUGGCGAAAGCGGCUCUCUGGCCUGUAACUGACACUGAGGCUCGAAAGCGUGGGGAGCAAACAGGAUUAGAUACCCUGGUAGUCCACGCCGUAAACGAUGAGUGCUAGAUGUAGGGAGCUAUAAGUUCUCUGUAUCGCAGCUAACGCAAAUAA
This 744-nucleotide ribosomal RNA is filed under the name Lactococcus lactis. RNAcentral's name for it is "bacterial SSU rRNA". It matches the Rfam family "Bacterial small subunit ribosomal RNA", at positions 132 to 863 of the family's 1533-position model. The record is from RNAcentral. Lineage: Bacteria; Bacillati; Bacillota; Bacilli; Lactobacillales; Streptococcaceae.